RNAcentral lists this ribosomal RNA (421 nucleotides) under uncultured bacterium. RNAcentral describes it as "partial 16S ribosomal RNA". It matches the Rfam family "Bacterial small subunit ribosomal RNA", at positions 360 to 773 of the family's 1533-position model. The record is from RNAcentral.
AAUUUUGGACAAUGGGGGCAACCCUGAUCCAGCCAUCCCGCGUGUGCGAUGAAGGCCUUCGGGUUGUAAAGCACUUUUGGCAGGGAAGAAAAGGCUCUGGCUAAUACCUGGAGCUGCUGACGGUACCUGAAGAAUAAGCACCGGCUAACUUCGUCCCAGCAGCCGCGGUAAUACGUAGGGUGCAAGAGUUAAUCGGAAUUACUGGGCGUAAAGCGUGCGCAGGCGGUUCGGCAAGUAGGAUGUGAAAUCCCAGGGCUUAACCUUGGAACGGCAGUCUUACCUGCCGGGCUAGAGUAUGUCCGAGGGGGGUAGAAUUCCGCGUGUAGCAGUGAAAUGCGUAGGGAUGCGGAGGAAUACCGAUGGCGAAGGCAGCCCCCUGGGAUAAUACUGACGCUCAUGCACGAAAGCGUGGGGAGCAAAC